Molecule: ribosomal RNA, 250 nt
Filed under: uncultured bacterium
Lineage: Bacteria
Description: partial 16S ribosomal RNA
Rfam family: Bacterial small subunit ribosomal RNA
Source: RNAcentral
AACGAUGAAUACUCGCAGUGUGCGAUAUAAUGUAUGCUGCCAAGUGAAAACGUUAAGUAUUCCACCUGGGGAGUACGCCGGCAACGGUGAAACUCAAAGGAAUUGACGGGGGCCCGCACAAGCGGAGGAACAUGUGGUUUAAUUCGAUGAUACGCGAGGAACCUUACCCGGGCUUGAACUAAGCAGGAAGAUGGGCAGAGACGCCCGUUGUCUUCGGACCUGCUUGGAGGUGCUGCAUGGCUGUCGUCAG